UGGCUCAGGAAGAACGCUAGCGGCAGGCUUAACACAUGCAAGUCGAGGGGCAGCGGGGAGGAAGCUUGCUUUCUCCGCCGGCGACCGGCGCACGGGUGAGUAACACGUAUGCAACCUGCCCCUGUCAGGGGGACAACCCGCCGAAAGGCGGGCUAAACCCGCGUACAUGCCACCGGGGCAUCCCGGAGGCAGGAAAGGCUUCGGCCGGACAGGGAUGGGCAUGCGGCGCAUUAGGCAGUAGGCGGGGUAACGGCCCACCCAACCGACGAUGCGUAGGGGUUCUGAGAGGAAGGUCCCCCACACUGGUACUGAGACACGGACCAGACUCCUACGGGAGGCAGCAGUGAGGAAUAUUGGUCAAUGGUCGGGAGACUGAACCAGCCAAGCCGCGUGAGGGAGGAAGGUACAGAGUAUCGUAAACCUCUUUUGUCAGGGAACAAAGACUGGGACGCGUCCCCGGAUGAGUGUACCUGAAGAAAAAGCAUCGGCUAACUCCGUGCCAGCAGCCGCGGUAAUACGGAGGAUGCGAGCGUUAUCCGGAUUUAUUGGGUUUAAAGGGUGCGCAGGCGGUCUGUUAAGUCAGCGGUCAAAGCCCGGGGCUCAACCCCGGCCCGCCGUUGAAACUGGCAGUCUCGAGUUGGAGAGAAGUAUGCGGAAUGCGCGGUGUAGCGGUGAAAUGCAUAGAUAUCGCGCAGAACUCCGAUUGCGAAGGCAGCAUGCCGGCUCCACACUGACGCUGAGGCACGAAAGCGUGGGUAUCGAACAGGAUUAGAUACCCUGGUAGUCCACGCAGUAAACGAUGAAUGCUGGCUGUCCGGGGGGACUGACCCCUGGGUGGCGAAGCGAAAGCGAUAAGCAUUCCACCUGGGGAGUACGCCGGCAACGGUGAAACUCAAAGGAAUUGACGGGGGCCCGCACAAGCGGAGGAACAUGUGGUUUAAUUCGAUGAUACGCGAGGAACCUUACCCGGGCUCAAACGGGGAGUGACUCAGGCAGAGACGCCUGUUUCCCACGGGACACUCCCCGAGGUGCUGCAUGGUUGUCGUCAGCUCGUGCCGUGAGGUGUCGGCUUAAGUGCCAUAACGAGCGCAACCCCCGCGUGCAGUUGCUAACAGAUAACGCUGAGGACUCUGCACGGACUGCCGGCGCAAGCCGCGAGGAAGGCGGGGAUGACGUCAAAUCAGCACGGCCCUUACGUCCGGGGCGACACACGUGUUACAAUGGGUGGUACAGCGGGAAGCCAGGCGGCGACGCCGAGCGGAACCCGAAAUCCACUCUCAGUUCGGAUCGGAGUCUGCAACCCGACUCCGUGAAGCUGGAUUCGCUAGUAAUCGCGCAUCAGCCAUGGCGCGGUGAAUACGUUCCCGGGCCUUGUACACACCGCCCGUCAAGCCAUGGGAGCCGAGGGCGCUUGAAGUGCGUCGCCGCGAGGCGCGCCCUAGAGCGAAAUCGGUGACUGGGGCUAAGUCGUAACAAGG
Molecule: ribosomal RNA, 1478 nt
Filed under: uncultured bacterium
Lineage: Bacteria
Description: 16S ribosomal RNA
Rfam family: Bacterial small subunit ribosomal RNA
Source: RNAcentral